AAAUAAGUAGUUCUGUUUCUCUGAAGAACCCUGAUUAAUACAAACAAAAAGCCUAAACUGAAAUUAAGUUAAUUUGGUGUCUACUAAAAUAGGACACCACAUACAGAGAACCAAAAGGAAUUCACAUUUUUUUCAGAGCUAGAGGGAAGCUAAGAGUUCACCUGUCCUGGCCUCUUUACCUCCCUGAUAGAGAGGUAAGUCCCAGGGUACUCUGCCCCUUCCUGAGUCUCAGGCUGGGCCCAAGUAGUCUAACACCCAGGACUGUGUCCCCCAUUCCACCAGGGACUUCUGAGAAGAGAGCUAUCUCAUUGUGGAAAAAAUAAAUGAGAUGGAAAACAGACAAAUCACAUGUGUGUCAACACUGACAGGUGAAUUAGUUAAUCAGAAGCAAGAACCUAUGCAGAAAAUGAAGUACUGAGACUAUUUCUCACUCCUCAAGCAUACAUAGAAGAUAAUGACAAUACUUUUCAGACCAUGACAAAGAAUUGUGAUAUCAUGAUUAUUUUUCCAAACCACUGGCUCUGGCUAAUUAAUACUUUAACAGAAAAUUUUGCUCCAAGAACUCUUAACAGUUUUACAGCAAAACAGGGAAACAAAGAUUUAAUGUUUACUCUAUGCUCUGCCUUGAUUUGAUAGCAAAGAUGGCAGGCACUAAGACAGCUUCUCUGUAUACGCAAUGGGAAAAGAGUAGGAAGCCAUUAAUAAGUAGUAUUACUGUGGUAUUCUUAUUUAAUAGUCACAGAGGACCAACAAUCCCCUAAAGGAUAAACACCCAACUCCUUCCCAGUGAGUUUAUUGUUUCACGAUUUAAGGACAUAGGAUAAAGGAGAGGAACAAGGACCACAGACAAACACACACACACACACACACACACACACACACACACACUCACACACUCACUCUGGCUUUUCAUAAAGCAGCACCAUUUUCCCUGGGAUUCAAGAUACUUGGCUGAGUCUGUUGCAAAUCGGCGGCAGUUGAGAGUCUACUCCCAGAGCCUCUUUCUGAUGGAAGCCUCGACUACACACCUCACUCCUCAUACUGUACAGGCAGAUGCUGCAUGUCAGUAAGAGGAAAGCGACCUAUUAGAGAUUAUACACGUAGUUGUCUGAGUCCCUCUUUCCAAUUCAUUCAGGUGUAUAUCUGGAAGUGGGAUUGCUGGGUCACGUGUUAAUUCUGUUGAACUUUUCGAGGAACCCAUCCUCAGAAUAUUUGGAGUCAGUGGUGAACUGAAUCUAAAGCUCAAAGGAAGCCCAGACCAGUUCAGCUACUGAGUAGAUGUUGGCCCAACAGGAGAAGGGACAUAUCCUUUCUGGGACAAUAUGAUUAUUUACUUCAGGCUCUAAUGUUCUUUUUAUUCAUCCAUUAUAACUGUAAACUCAGUGAUUUUAAUUACACUAAUAGUUGUGCAAUCAUUACAAUCCAGUUUUAGAAUAUUUUCAUCACCCCCAAAAUUCCCUCGAGCUUGUUUGCAGUCAAAGUUACUCCCAGCACCAGGCAAGCCCAGGUCUGCUUUCUGUCUCUCUGUUUCCCUUUUCCAGACAUUUCAUAUAUAUAUAAUCAUGGUCUAGGUAGAUCUUUUGGAUCUGGUGUCCCAAGUAUGAAUAUUAGUUUACUAGCUCAGAUGUACAUAAAAAUAUUACAUAUUUUUACUUUCUACUCAGCCCGUGCCAGUAGGAAUGUAGGGAGUUCCACUGUCAGGCAUCACUGCGGCCUAGAGUGGAGGGUCUCCUUCUCUAGGGUCGUGCAAAAAUCUAGAAGGGCCUUCGGUACCAUUGGAAUCAGGACCACUUAUUCUUCAGCCCAUUAAUCUUGCUGCUGAUACCCUCAUUAUCCAAUACAUGGGUUCUUCUAAGGAGAAGGCAGGUUGCUCUAUUAUUUCCAGUGACAAGUGUGGACUCCAGAAUCUGCCAAAACUGUGGGAUCAGGUUCCCUAGGUCUAAUAGAUGCAUCACACAGCUGUGUGACACCAAGAGCUUGCCUGGUGCUGCAGGGGCUCAGGAGACCACUAAUCCCCACCCCUUCCACUCUAGAGCAGUCAUUCUUCUCUCCAACUGCUGUAAAAGCCCCCUACCCCAUCCAGCCUAUCUCCCCUUUCCCCACCAGGACACCUGGGAUAUAUACACUUGUAUUAUAGCUUGCCACUUGUAUUAGGAUUCCCCCGCACCCCGUGCCGGUGGCUCGUACCAGUGAGCAGCGUGGAUGCUCAUCCACACGCUGCUUAUUCCCACUGAUUUCAGCAGCAUCAGCCCCUUAAUUCCAAAAUCAAGGCUUCCGGGUAUGAUGUCCUUCUUGGUCUUCAGCACAAACCUGCUCCCAGACUCUCUUCCAGAUCACCUGCAACCCCGCCCUCAUUGCUGUUUUUCAGUCUUGCUCCAGGGUCCCGUUGCCUGCCCGGUGCUCGGACCGCAGCACCUUGGCCUAGACCUUGAUCCUGAGAUCAGAUGACUUCUGCGUCAGGGAUGCUCAUUCCUGCUCACCGUGCUUAGACUGCAAACUAGCGCGGUUCUCCCUCCUUCCUCGUCUUGUUUCCUUCCUUUUAAUUCUGACAAAUCCGGAAGCAUCUUCUUUCCUCUGGUCCAGUAUAGCAAUACUCCUGCUUCCUAGGUACAAUGCAGGUCAACGCAGUAAAUCCCGCUGCCUGGGGCAGCUGAAGCAUCCAGGAACAAAACCAGGUGUUUUGUUCCCUGGUAACAAAAGCCGAAAAAGCAUCCUGCAGGCUUUUUGUUUAUAAUUAAAGGUCUAUUUUAAGCGUAAAAUCAGGUGGAAAGCCAUGCGUGUUCAGUUACCUAUAUCCAAAUGUAAGGCUUUUAAUAGAGAUCGACGUCUAGUUCCAAGGGUGCUUGACACCAUGCUCCUCUUGCCACGGGGUGCAGAGACCCCUUGUGGAUAUGGCUUUAUAGAGGGACCCCGUGGGGAAGACUGACUUUGCACACGUUUUAAUUAAUAAUUUAUUUUGACUAACGCCGUUCCUCACGGUUAUCACACUGACACCUUGGCGCAACCCUCAUUAUCCAGGUGGGUGCCUUGAGCCAGCGCCAGUCGGCGCAGGGAAGAGGAGCCGCAGGAUACUCGCCGCAAAGCCCUCGGAGGGCGGGGCCUGUCGAGGGGCGGGGCCCGGGAAAUUCCCGGCGGAGGCGGGGAGGCCCGCUCGGCGUCAGCUGUGCGUCGCUGGGCGGGGUCGCGAGGCCGCAAGUCCGCCCGAGGCUCCCCGAGUGGCCGCCGCCGCCCUCCCGCGGGGCCUCCGGUCCGCGUCUGCAUCCGGGCCCCGAUGCCGAGGAAGCAGUGACCCGGAGCAAGGCGGGAGCGCGGGCGCCCGGUCUGCCGGGGCCGGGGGCGGGUAGGGGUUGGGCGAGGGCGGCUCCUUCUCUGCCUGCCCCGGAAACUGUUCCCGCGGACCCCUUCCCUGCCAGCCUGACCCAGUAGGCGAGUGGGUGGCGAGGGGUGGGGAGUCCCCUCCUGCGGGGGGGUUUCCAGUUCCCGGCGGAUCCUGACCUGGUGGGGAAGGGCCGCGCGGGCGGCCGUCCCUAAGCGCCCUCCCCGUCACCGGCCUGGCCGGCCGCGGGCGACUCGUCUGUGGGUCGCGCAGGUGAUGUAAGGUGAUUCCCUCCCGCGGGUUGGGAACGACUAGUGCCUCGUUAUCAGGAAGUGGUUAAGAGUAGGCCUUUGGAGACGUGGAAAACUGAAAACUACUCUAGCUUUAGGAAAUGGCCCCGCAACGCUAAGGAACAAAGGACUUCUCUCAGGUGUGGGACACUGAACAGCCACCUGAAGGGAAUCUUCAUACACCGUGUGUCUAGAACACGUGUGUACGUAUGUGUGUGGAUCUGUGUACAUACAUACUCAUGUACAUGUAUUUAGACAGAGAGAAGAUGAAUAUUUGAUGAGGCUGAGGAAUUGCUUUUACUGUUGGAGAUGCGUAAGCUGGAGGCAAUAAACCUCGAGGAGAGAAAAUGAAACCAGGUUCCUCUGCCUCCUCCACCAGGAAAACUGUUGUAGGAAAUGUGUGCCACAGAGAUACUUAAGGAGAACCAAAGCUGUAGCACAGCAAGGUGGGGGUAGGGCGCGGAAAGCCUGAGAUCUGGUUCCGCGUGGCACUGUGAACAGGAAACCCCCCUUGCUCUUUGUGGAGGGGCCGGGCUCACCCGCAGGCCCUGCCCAGUCUGUAGUGGCCGGGAGACCCUGACAGGAGGCCAGGGCCAGGGACCGCCCUGGAACGGACUACCCUGGAGACAGAAGGCAAUGAUUAGAGUCUUUGGGAUGAAGGAUCCAUUUUUCUACUGGGACAGUGUCAGUGGUUCUUUAGACAUUGUGAACAGCAUUAUAAAAGUAGUACCUUUUUUGUAAUUGACCUCAGGUUGCAUCUUGUGCUAUGGAAUCCAAAUAAACCCUCCAGAAACCAAAACAAACUUAUUCUUGAAAGGCAUUGCUCACCGUAGUAUUUAUUACCUUACCAUGGAAGCCCCGCCUUUAAGUAGAUCUCCGAGCCCUGCUUCUUGUGAAUUGUAUACAGACUUGAACGGAUCUGUUGCCAUGUCCCACCAACUGCUUAACUGCCUAACUGAAAAGGGGGACAGCCCCAACGAAACCACACGAAAUGGACCCCCCAAUCUAGCUCACCUAAACCUGGAUACAGUCACCCCAGAGGAGCUGCUGCGGCAAAUGAAGGAGCUCCUGAUGGAGAACCAUCAGCUGAAAGAAGCCAUGGAGCUAAAUAACCAAGCUAUGAAAGGAUGAUUUGAGGAGCUUUCGGCCUGGACAGAGAAGCAGAAAGAAGAACGCCUUUCAUUUUGAGAUCCAGAGCAAAGAAGCCAAAGAACGCCUAAUGGCUUUGAGUCAUUAAAAUGAAAAAUUGAAGGAAGAACUUGGAAAACUAAAAGGGAAAACAGAAGGGUCAUUCCAGAUUCAUCACUUUUCAUUGUACUUUUACUUCUGAAAGAUGGUUUAACAAAUGUCAUAUUGUGAUAGAAGAUUAUAUAGGGUUGCCGUGUUUUCAUCGAUCUAAAGAACCUGGGAAAUAUGCUCACAACCAAGAGUGGGUAUCAAAGAUGUUAGUGAAAAAACAAAGCAGAGCACAUGUGCAGCCUCUGCCUGGUUGCUAACGCUCACUGGAUAUUAUUUGUUUACAUGGACGCAUCUGCUGUUCAUUUUCUUCCAAACCUGGAUCUUAACUCUUUGGAGGACGGAGCACUGGGUUGAUUCAGGGAGGACAUAACUCCAGAUAUCAGUGAUCUUUCUUGAGACUUUACCUUGAACUUUGAUGAUCUCUAAUUUCUUGAAUGGGUAAAGAAUGUGAACAGAGAAAUAAAAUGGAAAGAAAGUAAUGAAAAGGGGAUGAUAUAGAAUAAUCUGAAGAAUGAAAAGUUGUUUAGAACAGUAUCAACUCGCGCUCUUGAGACAAUGAAAACAUUGAGCUUUAGUACAUUUAUAUUAGUGUUGGAAAUGUUUCACUGUGGAUAAGGCUUACCACAUCUGAUGCUUCCAGUUGGAAGAGCAUUACGUCACUUUUGGGGCAAAUCGCUCAUUGUCUGAAUGUUUUUGAGGUGUAAUACUCUGAAGAAAUGAUUACACCUGGGAUAUAUGAGUAAUUUUCUAUUCUCUGGAAGAAGAUAUCUUAUAUGGUUUUCCUCCCUUGGCUUUUGGGAUGUGAACUGACAGUUGGCUUCAGCUGGCUGGGGCCUAGCACAUUGAAGCCAAAAUGGAAGCUUCCAGAAGCAGUUUGAGAUUGUCUGCCUGUAGGUUUUCUUCCAGAUCCCAGUACUGGAAGAAGUUGAGAUCAGAAGUUGAAACUCUGGACAGCUUGUUUCAAUGUAGGCGAUCUGUCAAAGUGAGCUACAAAACAGGACUCAGAAACGAGUCCUUGGGGCAAAGGACUUGGGUGUUUGGCCCAAUGAGACACUUGGGGCUCUGUAAUACCCUUGGCAGGAAAGGUGAGGAAGAGUGCCCACGUAGGGCCUGCCGACCUGGUUCCAGGUCCUCCUCUCCACCCGGAGGGCCGUGCGAGCAGGGGACAGAUACCAUCAUAUGCCACUGCGGUCGGUGGCAUGACUAAAGUCGUGUGGCCAGAGAACAGAAAAGCCCUCCUCUUUGGUUCAAGAACGAAACCUGAUUCCUGAUCUGGGAAUGACCCAUUUAACUCGGAUCUCAGCAGCACAGCACUCAGAACCUCAGCCCGACCUGGACAGGAAACUGUCACCGGAUGCUGUCGUCCCUGUCACUGGCCCCCAUGCACUCUGGAAGCCAGUGCAGUGCCAGGGCUCAUAACUUCUGUGCCUAGAAAAACGCUCUCAACAAGCAGCCAGUUCAGCCUAUCUCUGUUGCACCGAUUAGAUUAAAGAUGAAGAAAGUCAGGGUCAGUGGGGAGAGACUCCUGGUCCAAAGCCACACACCUGGCCCAAGGCGACGCCAGGCACUGAAAUAGGUAUGACUCCAGGGAGCCUGGUGCCCUCAGAUGCUGCUACACGGGCCACACCAAUGACCUUCCUCUCUUCCCAACCACGACAACUUCUGAAUACAUGGCCUUAUAGGACUUCAACUGUUUUUCUGCGUUGGUGGGGUGUCCUCCCUCCCGAAUCAGACAGGAAUGGGGACUCCCCCCGACAGCAGUGAUGACCACGGGCAGUACAGGGCGCGUACACACCUGCAGCGUGGAGGAGAACGUGCAGAGGUGGACAUUCCUCUUGGCCGCAUGUCACAGACGGGGGAAGGUGUAGACAGAGCAGGGAAUCAUUGACCCCAGCACCCAGGCUGGCUGCUCGGCACCCAUCGCGACGAGUGCUCAGUCUGGGCCAGAAGCAGAAGAAACCCACUCUAGAAAGGUGUGCCCAGCCACGGCCAAGGCCAGGGGCACAGUGGGCCCAGGAAGACCUCCUCACACAGGCCCUGCCCCCAACCCCUCCGCCUGCUGGCUCUGCCCAGCCAGCCCGGCCCUGCUACCUCCUGCCAGGUGGGCCCUGGGGCCGGCAGGGUCUGAUGUGGGUGACACUGCUGCUGUUGUCUCCCUGCUCAUCUGGUUGUGAGCCGUUACAACUUUCUGUGUUUUAGAUUAACAUGUUUGUGCCGGGGCACAGUCGUUAGUGGACAGGGCAGUAGUGAGGGGACGUUUUCCUCAGUAAAUCUUCGGAAAGGUCCAGAGGCUGCUGGGCUGCGUGCACAGAUUCCUGACCUCAGGAGGGGAGGCUGUGGUUUGGGGCACACAGAUGGGCUGAGGACAGAGGAAGCCAUGGCCUUGUCCACCAGCUCAGGGCCAGCCACCGCUCUGGGAGGUGGGGGUUUGUGCAGCAAGGGGGCUUCCGACAGCUGGACCGCCCAUCACAUCCUGCCCCUCUGGGUCUCUGCUGGGGAAUCACUUUCCCCUCCACCCUUUCCUUAGGCAUGGCUUAUCUGUGCCUGGCACACAGUAGGUGCUCAAUAAAUGCUCAUUAAUUGAACGAAUGGCAGAGAUUGCAAACUGGUGGUCCAAGGGUCAAAUCCAGCCAUAGAUGUGUUGAAUCAAGCCAGCAUGAAUGAGUUGCUUCCAUUUGAUGACGAGGGUGCUUUUUCUCAGUUAGGAUCAUCUCUCUGUUGCAGGGAGAGCUCCUGUAUGGGUUAAUACACCCAUGAGCUCUGUAAGUUCUGGGCUGCAUCUUGGGAGCCCUGUUCAACCUGGAUGUGUUCAAUGACCAGAGAGUCUACCUCUAAACCCUUAAGUUCAGCAUUACUCUCUGCAUUUUUUAAGCAUGUGCAGUAAAAAUUCUGCUCUCUUUUUGGGUUGGAUUGUGUGUCCAACCCUAUUGUUUGGCCCGGGCACACCUCCUAACUCCACCGUUAUAACGACGGAACAGCACACGCUGCUUUUGGAAUGUGACAUCCUUUAGAUACCUGGUGGCUUUUCAGAAAUGCAGACCCUUGAUGGCUUGGGCAGUUUCACGAGUGUUCUUAAAAUGAACAGGUAGAUUCGAACCUCUUGAUUUACAUGAUUUUGUGGGGUUCUCUGAGUCAAGCGAAUAGCGAACCAUUUUCAGAGGUCACCUCAGGCUGCUUACGGGAAGAACUCUUUAUGGUUUUCUUUUUUUUUUUUUCCUGCCUUCUCUUCUUCUGGGAUUCCCACUGUAUGUCGGUUUGGUUGAA
Long non-coding RNA from Rhinolophus ferrumequinum (greater horseshoe bat), 8109 nucleotides. RefSeq lists it as uncharacterized. Lineage: Eukaryota; Metazoa; Chordata; Mammalia; Chiroptera; Rhinolophidae. The transcript has 5 exons. The record is from RefSeq and is a predicted model, not a curated record.